Ailuropoda melanoleuca (giant panda) is the source of this 1155-nucleotide long non-coding RNA. RefSeq lists it as uncharacterized. The transcript is spliced from 3 exons. NCBI's taxonomy places the organism in Eukaryota, Metazoa, Chordata, Mammalia, Carnivora, Ursidae. The record is from RefSeq and is a predicted model, not a curated record.
AGACACUUCCCUUUCCUGAACUUCUGUAAAUGCAAAUUUUCCUUCCUUCCUUCCACGAUGCUGGCAACCAACCCGUGUGUAGUGAGCAGUGACCACAUCCAGUCAUGGCGCCAGGCACGCUGGGCAUUCACUGAAAUCUUAAGGAGAAAAAAGAAGAAGGAGGAGAAGAAGAAAUCAUCCUGGUCAGAAGAUUUUAAUGUCAUAGAGACAACCUACAAUUCUUCUGGAUAUAUUGUUCAGGAAUGGAAGCAAAAUAAAGUCAUUCUUAGAGGAAGGAACAAGGGGAGGAUUUGUUGCCAGCAGCUCUGCUGUACAAGAAAUGAUAAGGGUCCUGUUGGUAUGGUGGGGGGGGCAACACUGCUCCAAAACAUCACCUUGCCCAGACGUGACCCAGGCCGCGGAGCUGUUGAUGAGCACGGAGGAGAGGCAUCAUUGUGACACGGUAGGGAUGUAGGUUGUCCUCUGAACCUGUUCAUGGGCCCAGGCCUACCACUUACUCAACGGUGGAUGGCGAACUUAUGACUGAGUGGAAGAGACCAUACCUAGCUCAUCGUGGAUGGUUCCGGUUGCAUACAUGCUCAUGUCUCUUGUCACUCCGUUUCUGUUGGGACCAGUGGCACUUCAGGGGCAGCUUUUUAAGUGGUACCUAACUCUGUCGUGCAGGUGAUGUGAUGACAUGAGCCCAAAGCCCAUUGAGGCUCAGCAGAGGGGUCACACAGCAUCCCAACACACACGCCUACUGCUAGCAGCAUGAUCUGGUAGGUCACGGCCAUGGCCAUAGGGUCCUGAUGGAUAGAAAAAAGUUAUGCUUGGGGCGCCUGGGUGGCUCAGUCAGUUGAGCAGCUGACUCUUGUUUGAGGCUCAGGUCAUGAUCUCAGAGUCGUGAGAUCGAGCGGCACGUGAGGCAAUGUGCUUCGUGAAGAGUCCGCUUAGGAUUCUCUCUCCCUCUUCCCCUGACCAUCCUCUGACUCUCUCUCUCUCUCUCUCUCUCUCUCAAAAAGAAUUGUUGUGAUUACAUGAUAUUGUAGUCUAUUAUUAAGCGUGCAAUAAUAUGUCUAAAAAGACAAUGUACACACCUUAAUUUUAAAAAUACUUUAUUGCUGGGGCGCCUGGGUGGCACAGCAGUUAAGCAUCUGCCUUCGGCUCAGGGCGUGA